RNAcentral lists this ribosomal RNA (357 nucleotides) under Ensifer meliloti. Its description in RNAcentral is "Sinorhizobium meliloti bacterial SSU rRNA". It matches the Rfam family "Bacterial small subunit ribosomal RNA", at positions 1002 to 1358 of the family's 1533-position model. Lineage: Bacteria; Pseudomonadati; Pseudomonadota; Alphaproteobacteria; Hyphomicrobiales; Rhizobiaceae. The record is from RNAcentral.
AGAGAUGGUUUCCUUCAGUUAGGCUGGAUCGGUGACAGGUGCUGCAUGGCUGUCGUCAGCUCGUGUCGUGAGAUGUUGGGUUAAGUCCCGCAACGAGCGCAACCCUCGCCCUUAGUUGCCAUCAUUCAGUUGGGCACUCUAAGGGGACUGCCGGUGAUAAGCCGAGAGGAAGGUGGGGAUGACGUCAAGUCCUCAUGGCCCUUACGGGCUGGGCUACACACGUGCUACAAUGGUGGUGACAGUGGGCAGCGAGACCGCGAGGUCGAGCUAAUCUCCAAAAGCCAUCUCAGUUCGGAUUGCACUCUGCAACUCGAGUGCAUGAAGUUGGAAUCGCUAGUAAUCGUGGAUCAGAAUGCC